GAUGAACGCUGGCGGCGUGCCUAAUACAUGCAAGUCGAGCGAACAGACGAGGAUCUUGCUCCUCUGACGUUAGCGGCGGACGGGUGAGUAACACGUGGAUAACCUACCUAUAAGACUGGGAUAACUUCGGGAAUCCGGAGCUAAUACCGGAUAAUAUCUUGAACCGCAUGGUUCAAUAGUGAAAUACGGCUUUGCUGUCACUUCUAGAUGGAUCCGCGCCGCAUGAGCUAGUUGGUAAGGUAACGGCUUACCAAGGCAACGAUGCGUAGCCGAACUGAGAGGGUGAUCGGCCACACUGGAACGGAGACACGGUCCAGACUCCUACGGGAGGCAGCAGUAGGGAAUCGGCCGCAAUGGGCGAAAGCCUGACGGAGCAGGGCCGCGUGAGUUAUGAAGGUCUUCGGAUCGUAAAACUCUGUUAUUAGGGAAGAACAAAUGUGUAAGGAACUAUGCCCGUCUUGACGGUACCUAAUCAGAAAGCCACGGCUAACUACGUG
RNAcentral lists this ribosomal RNA (497 nucleotides) under uncultured bacterium. Its description in RNAcentral is "partial 16S ribosomal RNA". It matches the Rfam family "Bacterial small subunit ribosomal RNA", at positions 28 to 507 of the family's 1533-position model. The record is from RNAcentral.